GGUGAGAUGGCCGAGUUGGUCUAAGGCGCCAGGUUAAGGUCCUGGUCUGGAAACAGGCGUGGGUUCAAAUCCCACUCUCAUCA
Molecule: non-coding RNA, 83 nt
Organism: Sclerotinia borealis F-4128
Lineage: Eukaryota; Fungi; Ascomycota; Leotiomycetes; Helotiales; Sclerotiniaceae
Source: the annotation of a GenBank genome assembly